AGUUUGGACAUUGGGGGAAACCCUGAUCCAGCCUUCCUGCGUGUAUGAUGAAGGCCUUCGGUUGGUAAAGUACUCUUGGCAGAGAAGAAAAGGUAUCCCCUAAUACGAGAUACUGCUGACGGUAUUUGCAGAAUACGCACCGGCUACCUACGUGCCAGCAGCCGCGGUAAUACGUAGGGUGCAAGCGUUAAUCGGAAUUACUGGGCGUAAAGCGUGUGUAGGCGGUUCAGAAAGAAAGAUGUGAAAUCCCAGGACUCAACCUUGGAACUGCAUUUUUAACUGCCGAGCUAGAGUAUGUCAGAGGGGGGUAGAAUUCCACGUGUAGCAGUGAAAUGCGUAGAUAUGUGGAGGAAUACCGAUGGCGAAGGCAGCCCCCUGGGAUAAUACUGACGCUCAGACACGAAAGCGUGGGGAGCAAACAGG
This 423-nucleotide ribosomal RNA is filed under the name uncultured bacterium. RNAcentral describes it as "partial 16S ribosomal RNA". It matches the Rfam family "Bacterial small subunit ribosomal RNA", at positions 359 to 776 of the family's 1533-position model. The record is from RNAcentral.